GUUUGAUCCUGGCUCAGAACGAACGCUGGCGGCGUGCCUGAUACAUGCAAGUCGUGGGAGAAAGUCUUAGCGGUACCGCUAGUACACCUGCGCAGGGGUGAGUAACACGUGGAUAACCUGCCUUAGAGUCUGGGAUAACCCGUCCAAAGACGAGCUAAUACCUGAAUAAGACCACCGGAAGUUCGCUUUCCAUGAGGUAAAUAGAUGAGCCUCAUGCUCGCUGCAAGCAUAGUGCGCUCUUGAGCAGGGGCUCCGCUGUCCUAUCGGCUAAUUGGCUAGGUAGCGGCUCACCAAGGCUAAGACUGGUAGCUGGUCUGAGAGGAUGGUCAGCCACACUGGGACUGACACACGGCCCAGAGUCCUACGGGAUGCACCAGUCAGGAAUAUUGCGCAAUGGAGGAAACUCUGACGCAGCGACACCACGUGGGUGAUGAAGGCCUUCCGGUCGUAGAGCCCUGUCUGAGGGGAAGAAAAGUCUGUUGGCUAAUAUCCAAUGGACCUUUGACGGUACCCUCAUAAGGAAGCAGCGGCUAACUCCGUGCCAGCAGCCGCGGUAAGACGGAGAGUGCAAGCGUUGUUCGGAUUGACUGGGCGUAACGGGCGUGUACGCGGUUUGUCAAGUCGGGUGUGAAAGCCUGGGGC
This 642-nucleotide ribosomal RNA is filed under the name uncultured bacterium. RNAcentral describes it as "bacterial SSU rRNA". It matches the Rfam family "Bacterial small subunit ribosomal RNA", at positions 11 to 608 of the family's 1533-position model. The record is from RNAcentral.